GGAGGCCAGUGAAUGGCAAGACUCAGAACACCUCUACACCCUACGUAAAAAAAACUUUUCGUCUAAGUGAAAAGACUUAGAUAACUAAGGAAGACGAAAAGACCCCGCGGAACUUUACUUUAUCUUAUACAAACACCAACAACUAAUAGUAUGAAAAGUUUGAUUGGGGCAAUCUCGGAACCUCCAAGCUUCCGACACCUUAAGAAAAAAAUAAAAAACUCACUAUGGACAAGACAGAAGUUACCCCGGGGAUAACAGCGUUAUCCAACUUGAGAGUACACAUCGAAAGUUGGGUUUGCGACCUCGAUGUUGGCUUAA
Molecule: ribosomal RNA, 318 nt
Filed under: Monodontina cambodjensis
Lineage: Eukaryota; Metazoa; Mollusca; Bivalvia; Unionida; Unionidae
Description: Pseudodon cambodjensis partial 16S large subunit ribosomal RNA
Rfam family: Bacterial large subunit ribosomal RNA (bases 61-318)
Source: RNAcentral